Balaenoptera acutorostrata (minke whale) is the source of this 2636-nucleotide long non-coding RNA. RefSeq lists it as uncharacterized. The record is from RefSeq and is a predicted model, not a curated record. The transcript has 5 exons. Lineage: Eukaryota; Metazoa; Chordata; Mammalia; Artiodactyla; Balaenopteridae.
UCACGGGAGCCUGGCGGUGGCGGGCUGCACCGGCUCCCGGGAGGGGCGGUGUGGAGAGUGACCUGUGCUCGCACACAGGCUUCUUGGUGGUGGCAGCAGCAGCCUUAGAGUCUCAUGCCCGUCUCUGGGGUCCACGCUGAUGGCCGCGGCUCGCGCCUGUCUCUGGAGCUCGUUUAGGCAGCGCUCUGAAUCCCCUCUCCUCGCGCACCAGGAAACAAAGAGUGAGACAGACAUAGGAUGCAGUAAAAUUCUCACCCUCCUUCCAGUGGCGACUGAUUACACAGAGCUGUGCUACUCAGAGUGAAGUCUGUGGACCCGGGCUGGUCCCCAGUAAGGGAAUAUGUUAAAUGCAGCGGCCAGAGCUGACCAGGGAGCACAGCCGUCUCUCCUUCCUUCCCGUAAAGAGCUGCCAGCCCUGUGUGAGCGCUGACCCUCUUCCUGGAACCAACCUCAAGCAGCAGUGCCUGCUUCCGGCUCCCGCCUCGGGCUUCUGGCAUGUGGAUACCAUAGGGAGUAGAGAGAAACUGAAGGAGAGAACUGAGGUCAGAGAAAGCUCACCCUGACUAAAAUUAUGAACUGUGUCGGGAAGUGCAGAAGUUGGAGACAUGGAAACCAGACAACUGCAACACUGCAAGUAAGAGGAUUGAGGACUGUCAAAGAAAAAGCGGGAUUGAAACCAAGCAAGACCUUGUGAGGCCCUCCCAGGUACAAAAACCCCUCCAUUUCCCCCAUUUCUUGUUUGUAGAAAAAGCCUUUAGUCUCCUAGCCUUUCCCUGAGUUCCAAACUCAGUUAUUAAUUAGGGAAGUGAGAGAAUGCAGAAACAAGGCAAGAAAUGUAAUGAAAAUAGUUCAGAGGUAAAACAGAGUCCUAGUUCCUCCUCAAGAGAUACACAUAGCAAUCUGACACACAUCUCUGAGUUGUUAUGCAGAAACUAAGACCCACCCCGCCCACGUGGAGGAUGGUGACUACAUGCUGACCACAAGCAUGCAGACUCCAGACUGGUUGGAACCAGAAGGUUGAUGAUGAAGAUUCCUGAAACAUCACCCUGUGACCUCACCACCAAGCAACCAAAGGAAAAUCAUGCACCCUGCAGUCCUCACUCCAAAUGUUGCCUUAAAAACUCCUUUGCUGAAAGCCAUAGGGGAGUUGGGGUCUUUUGAGCAUGAGCUGCCUGUUCUCCUUGCUUGGUGCAUGUAAUAAAUGCUGCACAUUCCUUCACCACAACCUGCUGUCAGAGGAUUAGUUUUGCUGUGCAUUGGGCAAGUGGACACAAGUUCAGUUCGGUAACAUUCCCUCCCCUCACACCCUGACACUGAACCAUUAACAGUCCUGAUUCUAUUUCCAAAAUAUAACUCUACUCUCUCCUUCCACCUCCAACACCAGCUCAUUUGUCAAACCACAGUCAUCUUCUGCCUAGAUUGCCCCCAGCAUCUAUAGUCUAGCCUGCAAAGGGGGGACACAGUGGGCCCCUGCCUCAAAAACUGUGUCCCAAUCGGGAGGAUUUGGUGAGGAGUUUUAUAACAAUGGUUCAAGGGUGGGAUUGCUGAUAAAAUUAGGGGUGUGUAGGGCCUGAAUUCCUUUAAUCUGGUCUCAGGUGGUCUCUUGAUGAGCUUCUCUGGUUCCUUUAAUCUGGCCACAGGUGGUCUUCUCUGGAGUGAAGAAUGCUAGCACCAUCCAUUUAUUGGGGGUUUUAGUUCUGUAAUGAGCUCAAGGUAUCGGUCUGUGUAUCCCUUGAGGUGGAACCAGGACCCUGCCCCAAGGCUGCACUGUUGUUCCGUAGCUGCAACUCCCUUGUCUCUGUGGCCUUUCCCUUCCCUGAUUAGCAAUCUGCCCUUUGUUCGAAUCUGCCCUUUGGAACUCAGGGAAGGUCAUGGAAGCUGGAGUCUGUUCCCUACAAAUAAGAGACAGGGGACAUGGAAAGGCUUCUGUGCCCAGGAACUCCACAGGGUCCUGAUCAGUUUCACAUUCAGUAAAAGUUAGCUAAAAGAACUUGAGUUCCUCUCUCAAAUCUUGGUUGUAGGAUAAGGGUGUAAAGAGUCCUGUUAAAACAACAGCAAUUGACCCUGAUGCUUUUUUGUUUGUUUGUUUACUCUUUACAGUCUAUUAUAAAAUAGUUGUGUAGCGAUAGGAGGGUUGAUGGUCUUCAAAUACAUGAAUUGACCACAGUCUUUUGAUUUAAUAGGUCAAUUUUUAACUAAUUAAAAACAUAAUCAUUCAUCCAGUUCAGUUGUAAUCAUUAAAAUGCUUUGUAAUCAUUAAAAACUCUGAAAGAACUUUGAGGAAAUAAAAGAAAAAUGGUAGAAAUAGUGUUUUAGACCCACUUAAAAAAAAAAAAAAACUCUGAAUUGAUGACCUUUUGUAAUCUCUAAGAAUGAUGAGUAAAUAAUCUCUGUGGAGAGGUCGUGGCUUCUGUUUCCUAGGGUGGGAGAUAGACUGCUGCCUUCUGGGCUUGGGCAGGUAGCUGCCUUCUGCAGAGGGGCAUAGAUAGUCUUUAUUUGUCUGCUUUCCUCAUCCAGCUCUCUGUCUACCCCUUCUGUGUCCUCUACAAUUUGAGCACAGGGGAACAGAAGGAAACAUUCUGUACAGAAAGUUGGACUGGCUUUAUAUUCUCUGGGCAUAGUGGGUUUAAAGUGGA